GAGCCAAGGGAGAUGUUACGGACUGAAUUGUGUCUCCCAAGACUUCAUACGUUAAAGCCCUAACACCCAAUGUGACUGGAUUUGGAGACAGGGCCUUUAAAGGAGAGAAAAGGCCAUGUGGAGACACGAUGAAAAGCCCCCCUCCGCAAGCUGAGGAGAGAGACCUCACCAGAACCAGACCAUGCAGGCACGUUGAUCCUGCACUUCCAGCCUCCAGAACUCCUCGGGGCCAGUCAUGAAAGGGAGCUGGGUCCAGAUGUGCUGCGAGGGUCCAGAUGUGCUUCGAGGGUCCAGCAUAGGAGGAUUGUCAGGCCAGCUGGGGGAAAGGCUGUACUAUUGGCCCAUUUCAAAGCUGAAGAAAUUGAAGCCCAGAGAUGCAACACGGCUUGCCCAAGCUCACUCCAGGAUUUAACAUUGUCAGGAUCUGGUGCCCCAUGUCCUGUCCUGCCUGGUCAAGGCUCUGCCCUGCUGCCCAUCCCACUGCCAUCUCCCUCUAUCCCAUAACCCCCAGCUCACUGCUGAUGGUGACUGAUGGUGAAAGAUGACUAAGACAUAGUCUUCACCCUCUGGCUAAGAUCACAACUGCAGAUCUAUGUAACCAGUUGUCACUGCCCAUGACAGACAUUGCUAAUCAGUCACAGCAUUCUUCCUGCUGAGAGCCCAGAUUACUAGUCCUUUGAGAUUUAGAUAAAAAUGGACUGGAAUUUCCUAUCUCACAUCUUGAAGAAAUCCAGUGAUGGCCCCAAGAUUUCCUCAAAUUCCAGUGACUUGCAAAGUUGUGCUUAUUUCCAGCCCCAAUUUUCUCCUCCCAGCACACCUUUUGUCUCUCCUCUGCUCACCUUUCCUCUCUGCCCAGUGCCAAGCCAGGCAACCCUGUGCCAACUUCAUGUUCAGUAUGCGGGUUAUUUUACUGACGUUGAAGGAGACAGGGGUUUUAUCAUAGCAAAGUAAAGGGGAGCAAGUUGAAUAAUGGCUAGUCCUGCUCUUCAGGGUCCUUCAGCCACCAGCGCCGGCCACUGCUCUUCUCAGGCUCUCCCAUUUUAUGGAUCACCCCUACACUUCAAGAUGAUGCUCAAAUAUUU
Non-coding RNA from Macaca mulatta (Rhesus monkey), 1082 nucleotides. NCBI's taxonomy places the organism in Eukaryota, Metazoa, Chordata, Mammalia, Primates, Cercopithecidae. The record is from RefSeq and is a predicted model, not a curated record.